This 231-nucleotide unclassified non-coding RNA is filed under the name Hevea brasiliensis (rubber tree). Lineage: Eukaryota; Viridiplantae; Streptophyta; Magnoliopsida; Malpighiales; Euphorbiaceae. The record is from RNAcentral.
GGAAGGGCUCACAAAGGGCAGCAGCAGUGGCUGCUCUUUCAUCUGUUCUGACUGCUGAAAAGAAAAAGGCUAAUGAUUCCUCUCCUCCAUCUAACAGCAGUCCCCCACCAGAGAGUAACGCUCCAGUGGCAGCUGAAGAAAAGAAUGAUGAUGUCUUCCAACAAAUAGAGAGUCCUGAAGAAGUCUUGGAUCUUAAGGAGCCAGCGGAAACCACUCCUGUAUCGAAAAACA